Molecule: ribosomal RNA, 645 nt
Filed under: uncultured bacterium
Lineage: Bacteria
Description: bacterial SSU rRNA
Rfam family: Bacterial small subunit ribosomal RNA
Source: RNAcentral
AGAUGAGUCCCGCGGCUGAUUAGCUUGUUGGUGGGGUAAUGGUCUACCAAGGCGACGAUCAGUAGCCGGCCUGAGAGGGUGAACGGCCACAUUGGGACUGAGAUACGGCCCAGACUCCUACGGGAGGCAGCAGUUAAGAAUCUUGCACAAUGGGCGCAAGCCUGAUGCAGCGACGCCGCGUGGAUGAUGAAGGCUUUCGGGUUGUAAAGUCCGGUAAGCAGGGAAGAAUAAGUGGGGGGUAAUAUUCCUCAUGAUGACGGUACCUGCCUAAAGCCCCGGCUAACUACGUGCCAGCAGCCGCGGUAAUACGUAUGGGGCGAGCGUUGUUCGGAAUUAUUGGGCGUAAAGGGCGUCUAGGCGGGGAUUUAAGUUAGGUGUGAAAGCUAUGGGCUCAACCCAUAAACUGCACCUAAAACUGGAUCUCUUGAGUUUGGGGAGAGGAGAGCGGAAUUCCAGGUGUAGCGGUGAAAUGCGUAGAUAUCUGGAAGAACACCAGUGGCGAAGGCGGCUCUCUGGCCUAGGACUGACGCUGAAGCGCGAAAGCGUGGGGAGCGAACAGGAUUAGAUACCCUGGUAGUCCACGCCGUAAACGUUGUAUACUAGGUGUUAGCGGCUUGUCCGCUAGUGCCGCAGCAAACGCAUUAA